Molecule: ribosomal RNA, 866 nt
Filed under: Clostridioides difficile
Lineage: Bacteria; Bacillati; Bacillota; Clostridia; Peptostreptococcales; Peptostreptococcaceae
Description: bacterial SSU rRNA
Rfam family: Bacterial small subunit ribosomal RNA
Source: RNAcentral
UUUUAUUUGAGAGUUUGAUCCUGGCUCAGGAUGAACGCUGGCGGCGUGCCUAACACAUGCAAGUUGAGCGAUUUACUUCGGUAAAGAGCGGCGGACGGGUGAGUAACGCGUGGGUAACCUACCCUGUACACACGGAUAACAUACCGAAAGGUAUGCUAAUACGGGAUAAUAUAUUUGAGAGGCAUCUCUUGAAUAUCAAAGGUGAGCCAGUACAGGAUGGACCCGCGUCUGAUUAGCUAGUUGGUAAGGUAACGGCUUACCAAGGCGACGAUCAGUAGCCGACCUGAGAGGGUGAUCGGCCACAUUGGAACUGAGACACGGUCCAAACUCCUACGGGAGGCAGCAGUGGGGAAUAUUGCACAAUGGGCGAAAGCCUGAUGCAGCAACGCCGCGUGAGUGAUGAAGGCCUUCGGGUCGUAAAACUCUGUCCUCAAGGAAGAUAAUGACGGUACUUGAGGAGGAAGCCCCGGCUAACUACGUGCCAGCAGCCGCGGUAAUACGUAGGGGGCUAGCGUUAUCCGGAUUUACUGGGCGUAAAGGGUGCGUAGGCGGUCUUUCAAGUCAGGAGUGAAAGGCUACGGCUCAACCGUAGUAAGCUCUUGAAACUGGGAGACUUGAGUGCAGGAGAGGAGAGUGGAAUUCCUAGUGUAGCGGUGAAAUGCGUAGAUAUUAGGAGGAACACCAGUUGCGAAGGCGGCUCUCUGGACUGUAACUGACGCUGAGGCACGAAAGCGUGGGGAGCAAACAGGAUUAGAUACCCUGGUAGUCCACGCUGUAAACGAUGAGUACUAGGUGUCGGGGGUUACCCCCUUCGGUGCCGCAGCUAACGCAUUAAGUACUCCGCCUGGGAAGUACGCUCGCAAGAG